GCGCCUGUAGCUCAGUGGAUUAGAGCAUCUGACUACGGAUCAGAAGGCCAGGGGUUCGAAUCCUCUCAGGCGCUUCA
This 77-nucleotide transfer RNA is filed under the name Candidatus Poribacteria bacterium. RNAcentral describes it as "tRNA-Arg". It matches the Rfam family "tRNA". From Rfam's summary of the family: Transfer RNA (tRNA) molecules are approximately 80 nucleotides in length. Their secondary structure includes four short double-helical elements and three loops (D, anti-codon, and T loops). Further hydrogen bonds mediate the characteristic L-shaped molecular structure. tRNAs have two regions of fundamental functional importance: the anti-codon, which is responsible for specific mRNA codon recognition, and the 3' end, to which the tRNAs corresponding amino acid is attached (by aminoacyl-tRNA synthetases). tRNAs cope with the degeneracy of the genetic code in two manners: having more than one tRNA (with a specific anti-codon) for a particular amino acid; and 'wobble' base-pairing, i.e. permitting non-standard base-pairing at the 3rd anti-codon position. The record is from RNAcentral. Lineage: Bacteria; Candidatus Poribacteria.